RNAcentral lists this ribosomal RNA (729 nucleotides) under uncultured bacterium. RNAcentral's name for it is "bacterial SSU rRNA". It matches the Rfam family "Bacterial small subunit ribosomal RNA", at positions 43 to 770 of the family's 1533-position model. The record is from RNAcentral.
CAGGCCUAACACAUGCAAGUCGAGCGAGAAAGCCCUUCGGGGUGAGUAUAGCGGCGGACGGGUGAGUAACGCGUAGGAAUCUACCCAGUAGCGGGGGAUAACAUGUGGAAACGCAUGCUAAUACCGCAUACGCCCUACGGGGGAAAGCAGGGGAUCUUCGGACCUUGCACUAUUGGAUGAGCCUGCGUCGGAUUAGCUAGUUGGUGGGGUAAUGGCCUACCAAGGCGACGAUCCGUAGCUGGUCUGAGAGGAUGAUCAGCCACACUGGGACUGAGACACGGCCCAGACUCCUACGGGAGGCAGCAGUGGGGAAUAUUGGACAAUGGGGGCAACCCUGAUCCAGCCAUGCCGCGUGUGUGAAGAAGGCUCUAGGGUUGUAAAGCACUUUCAAUAGGGAGGAAAAGUUAACGGUUAAUACCCGUUAGCCGUGACGUUACCUAUAGAAGAAGCACCGGCAAACUCCGUGCCAGCAGCCGCGGUAAUACGGAGGGUGCGAGCGUUAAUCGGAAUUACUGGGCGUAAAGCGCGCGUAGGCGGUUACAUAAGUUGGAGGUGAAAUCCCCGGGCUCAACCUGGGAACUGCUUUCAAAACUGUGUGACUUGAGUACAGCAGAGGAUAGUGGAAUUUCUAGUGUAGCGGUGAAAUGCGUAGAUAUUAGAAGGAACACCAGUGGCGAAGGCGACUGUCUGGGCUGAUACUGACGCUGAGGUGCGAAAGCGUGGGGAGCA